This 5358-nucleotide long non-coding RNA is filed under the name Volvox carteri. RNAcentral's name for it is "long non-coding RNA (VCAR_LNC001546)". The record is from RNAcentral. Lineage: Eukaryota; Viridiplantae; Chlorophyta; Chlorophyceae; Chlamydomonadales; Volvocaceae.
GUGGUCGUCAGGACACCGGGCCACAGACACCGCGUAGCGACCACCAACUGAAAAACGUUUUUGACGGUUGGGUGAGACUUCGCUGAGCUCGGCUCGGAAACGCGUAGGCUGUACAUAAGAGUUAAAGUUGAUGAAAGCUUGCUCAAGACGGCCUGUUGUUCAUUACAAUUUCUUCUUCAAGUGAAGUCGGAUCUUCGGUUCUAGGGAGCUCCUGUUCAGCAUGCUCGAUGGGGAAAAUCUUUCGUGGGGGUUUUCUUCGUAGGAAAACCCCCACAGUAACCACUUGUUCACUAAAAAAUACCGCGGUGAAAAAAAUUAAAAACACUUAAAAGAGUUCAAAAACGCGGCAGUGGGGCAGCGGUGGCCGUGCUCGAAUCCUGAAGCGGGGAAGGAGGAGAACUAUCGUUAGUGGUCAGGAUUGAGAACGAAGAAGCCCUACCAAUUUAAAAAGUACAGCUUAAGAGUCCGUCAGAUCCGUUAGCUGCGUUUGUGAAGGCAGCUACAUUAGGAAAGGAUCCAGCAUCGCAUGCUAAAUUUAAGGCGUAAUUUCCGGGGUUGUUAUCGUAAGACUGGGUGGCGUCAUUGAAGUGGCGACUGUGACGGCGACCAUGUCGACGGGAAAGAAGCGAUAGAGCAAAGAAGACAGCAGAUAAGCGUGCUGUCUUUACGUACAUGUCUUAUCUACAUGCUGCAGCCGGGCCCCAGUCCCCAAGUCGCCGCCUCUCUACACAGGUCGCACAUCAGUUCGACACGUCCGUUAAAAAUGCUCGUUACGUAGGUUGUUUUUUUGACGGAUAAGUUGGUUGGACGUGUCGGUUCUCAAACUCUUACGAGGAAAUCUGUUCUGUGUAGUACCUUACCGUGACUCCCGCGACACCGAACCGUACAAGUUACAAGUUCCGCACACAAGUGCGGUUGUGUCCGUAAAAGCCGGGGGGGACAUGGCUCGAGGGGGACGCAGCCAUACCAGGGGCCGCUAUUCAGGAGAUCGAAUUGGAAAAUAUGCGCAGGAAGAUUAAGGACGCCCUGUCCAACCCACGCGGCUUGUGGACAUGGCUGCGUGGGGGAAAAGCGCAUCCUUGCGGGAUCUCAGAUGCUAGUGCUUUUACCGAGCAUUUUUUCAAAGUGCUUAAUGGUGCGGGAGACGCGAGGCAAGGUCGCAACGAGGGUAUACAUCGCAAAUGGCAGGACGAGGACCGGGUGAUGCUACGAUGGGAAUUAGCUGCUUGGCUCAACUUGUUAAGAGUUUAACGGAGGCCUCAAGGCUAUGCGCAACAUUAAGUCCGCAGGUCUGGAGGGAACCCUGGCCGAGUAUUAUAAGUACGCUAUCAGGGAGAGUGAAGGGCAGCGGCCCGUGUUUGUGUUGGCCCGUGUGUGCUAUACAACCGCAUAUACGGAGCUAAGUACCCCAGCGGGUUUACUACUAGCAACCUUUCCCCUGUAUUCAAGAAAGGGGACGCGUCCUGCUGUGAUAAUUAUCGAGACAUUGCGGUUGGAGGUCCCCUGUGCAAACUUUACGCCAAUACCAUGGGGAGGCGACCCACCAAUACUGCGAGAGCAACAGGCUACGUGCCGCUAGCCAGGCUGGGUGUAGGCUUGGUUUUGGUACCGAGCAUCACUUGUUUACAUUAAGGCAUCUUAUCUCAAAGCACACUGUGGCCGGAUCCAGGCCGAUUAUUAUCAUGCAAAUUGACGUAAGGCGUUCAACUCCGUCGACCAUGAGACACUUUGGGGCUUCCUCAUGUUGUAUGGGCUACAUGGGCGCAUCCUCGAUUCCGUGAAGGCUAGCUACGCUGACGUAAAGGUUCGGGUCAAGUUGGGGAAUAGGUUGGGGCCUGAAUUCACGGUGGGGCGUGGCGUGAAGCCAGUGUGCCCCCUUAGUGUAAUCCUUUUUUGACUCCUCGUAGAAUUUUUCGCACAUUACAUUGAUGCUCACGAUGCUAAUUGCCGUGUACGCCUUCCCAGCCGAUGGAGCACCCGCCGUGAGCAGUCUUUGGAGCUGCCGUACUCCGGCUCCGGGGACAUGCAGCACGUUGGCGUGGCUGAGGGACAGUUGUCGCAGCCCGGCUGGGAGAUGAUCCGCCCGCAGCAGCAGCUUCCCCAGCCACAAUGCGGCGGCGCUGGCGGCGCCGGCGGCGCCGGCGGCACCGCUGCCGCUGUUGGUCCCUGUGCCGGUCGACGGGUGAUCGUGAAGUCCCAGCUCCCUGACGUCAAAUACAUGUGGCGGCGCUAAAGUUGGAUUGUCGCAGGAAGGAAGGGUGAAUGGUGCGAUGGACGACCCAUGGGUCCGUUAGGUUGUGUGUGCCUGGGUGUGUCCGGAUGUCCUUGACAUGCAGAAGUCCACAGAAGCUCUGUGUAAUGACGGAAGGCCCAUCUGAGUAUCCCCUGUUACGCCUUUGCCGUGAUACAAUGGUGUCGAGACGGGGCUGCACGACUUCCGCUGUAAUCUGCGGGUGGGCCGUUCUAUUUUAACUAUCAGCAAGUAACGCCAACGGCUUACGACGGUGUAUUGGAUAAUCCAACGCUAGAAGAGCGUGAGGUGGGAGGGCUCCUUUGCUCGUGAAUUGGCCGAGGACGUCCUUUGCUAAGCGGGGGGCAAUGUGACGACGCAAGGCCCAUUUGAGCUGUUGGGCCAAUUACUAGCCAGGCUGGGUGUAGGCUUGGUUUUGGUACUGAGCAUCACUUGUUUACAUUAAGGCAUCUUAUCUCAAAGCACACUGUGGCCGGAGCCAGGCCGAUUAUUAUCAUGUAAAUUGACUUUAGUAAGGCGUUCGACUCCGUUGACCAUGAGACACUUGGGGCUUCCUCAUGUCGUACGGGCGACACGGGCGCAUCCUCGAUUCUCUGAAGGCUAGCUACGCUGACGUGAAGGUUCGGGUCAAGUUGUUGAAUAGGUUGGGGCCUGAAUUCACGGUGGGGCGUGGCGUGAAGCCAGUGUGCCCCCUUAGUGUAACCCUUUUUUGACUCCUUCGUAGAAUUUUUCGCACAUUACAUUGAUGCUCACGAUGCUGACUGCCGUGUACGCCUUCCUAGCCGAUGGAGCACCCGCCGUGAGCAGUCUUUGGAGCUGCCGUACUCCGGCUCCGGGGACAUGCAGCACGUUGGCGUGGCUGAGGGACAGUCGUCGCAGCCUGGCUGGGAGAUGAUCCGGCCGCAGCAGCAGCUUCCCCAGCCAGAAUGCGGCGGCGCUGGCGGCGCCGGCGGCACCGCUGCCACUGUUGGUCCCUGUGCCGGUCGACGGGUGAUCGUGAAGUCCCAGCUCCUGACAUGUGAUUACAUGUGGCGGCGCUAAAGUUGGAUUGUCGCAGGAAUGAAGGGUGAAUAGUGCGAUGGACGACCCAUGGGUCCGUUAGGUUGUGUGUGCCGGGGAUUGUACGGAUGUCCUUGACAUGCAGAAGUCCACAGAAGCUCUGUGUAAUGACGGAAGGCCCAUCUGAGUAUCCCCUGUUACGCUUUUGCCGGGAUACAAUGGUAUCGAGACGGGGCUGCACGACUUCCGCUGUAAUCUGCGGGUGGGCCGUUCUAUUUUAACUAUCAGAAAGCAACGCCAACGGCUUACGACGUUGUAUUGGAAAAUCCAACGCUAGAAGAGCGUGAGGUGGGAUGGCUCCUUUGCUCGUGAAUUGGCCGAGGACUACCACUGCUUUGGGGGCCAAUGUAACGACGCAAGGCCCAUUUAAGCAUAUGCCCUUUUGAACUGUUGGCCGUUGUGCCCGUUGGAUCGGAAGUGGCCUUUACUUUCGUGUUUGUCGUGUCGGGACUCUGUUUGUCGUGUCGGGUCUCUUGUCCGAUUUCUCUGUUGUCGGUGACCUGGGCGCGUGGAGCGGUCGUUGUUUCAGAGCCGGUGUUUCAGUUCAAGCCCCUAGCUGGCCGUUUGGUCACCCCUUAGAGGGCACAUGUUUUAGGAUUACCUUCAGUGGGCGUCCAUCAGCGUCUGUUGCGUGAUCUGUCGCGUCUGUGGCCGGUGGGUCAGUCUAUGCGCGGUUGGGGACCGCUGGUUUGACCUAGUUCUUGUGGAGUGUGUUUGGCGCUUUCCGUUCGGUUUGUUCGCUCUUCAGCCUGCGUAGAGGUGGCGCGUCCGCAACCCUUGCUGCUGGGUUGCCGCUUGGGGGUCGUUGAGGCUUUUGGCUCCGGGAGCUCUAUUUCGUUUUGGUGUGUGCGCCUGUCUGGCAGCUCUCGCGUCCUUUGGCCCGCUUGCGGGUCGGCGCGUUGCGCCGUUUGGUGGUUGAAUACUUCAACCGCUAGAGGGGGUAUCUUCUCCUUUGGGAUUUGUCUCUGAAGCAACAUGCUGGGUUCGUUGGGCGUAAGGCCCAGUGCGUAACAGUGACUUUCGCAGCGGCCCGUGUCCUCAGGGCCGUCAUUUAUUGCGCGCAUUACGCUGGUAAGCUUAUCUUGUUUUUGUUGUUCAGUGCGCGCCCCCCCGCCCGCCCAGCCGUUCACGGCGCAGCCCACGUUAGUUCAGUUGCGGUGGUUCGAAAGGCCUGUCUCCUUCGGGCCUCUCAGUCCUUUUCUCUCUUCCAUUAUAUGUAACAGAAAAUGGCAUUUGCUCCUGAAGCAACAACUAACGGUUUGUAAAAAAUGCAAGCUUGGCCAGCACAGCUUCUUCUCGUCUGUUAUCACAAUCGUUGUUGCUAGCUUAUGUAAAGUAGAAAUUGUCGAUGAUGUUGAAUUGCAUCAUAAGACGCUGGCGGAAAAAUCCGUUGUCCCGCUCCAAGAGGCUCCAGGAGGCUCCAGGAGGCAAAAACGAAUUGGAAACCUAAACAUCGUAGUCUUCACCAGCGCCGUGCCAUGAAAGCGUUAUAGUAUAGCGUGUGGCUAGUCUGGCGUGCGACAUGGACCCCAUAGCGGCUGUUGAAGCGGAAAUCGUCAAAGUUGCGGAUGAAAUACAAGCCGUUGGUGCAGCGAUAGCGGCUUGUACAGAUAAGGAUACAUUAGACUUCCUAUGGAAGAAAAAGUUGCUCCUGCGUAAGGAGAAGGAGCAGCUGCGUAAGGAGAAAGAACAGUUACGCGAGGAAAAGCUAAUUUUGCUUCGCAAAGGUGAGUUGUAUCAGCACAGUCACGGCACAGACGUGUACCUAGUGUACCUGCGCUGACCGUCUGCAGCAUAAACGGAAGGGUUGGCCUUGCGCUUCUUCGGGUUUACACCGCUUGGCGACUAAUCCAGUCACAUUCACAUGUUGUCGGUUGUCGCUUGGCAUGCGGUCUUGUGAACACAGAAAGAGCUCACGGACGCCUAUUCCCGUGGGUUUACCCAGCCAAGCCAACUAGGGCUUACCGGUUCCUUCCCUCGACACAGAUACGGAUGCGACGCGCGCUGACAAACCCAAGUCCUUCUCAUCAGUGGCCUUGACGGAGGCU